GACGAACGCUGGCGGCGUGCUUAACACAUGCAAGUCGAACGGAAAGGCCCUGCUUUUGUGGGGUGCUCGAGUGGCGAACGGGUGAGUAACACGUGAGUAACCUGCCCUUUACUUUGGGAUAACUUCAGGAAACUGGGGCUAAUACCGGAUAGGAGCUCCUGCUGCAUGGUGUGGGUUGGAAAGUUUCGGCGGUUGGGGAUGGACUCGCGGCUUAUCAGCUUGUUGGUUGGGUAGUGGCUUACCAAGGCUUUGACGGGUAGCCGGCCUGAGAGGGUGACAGGACACAAGGGGACUGAGAUACGGCCCAGAAUCCAACGGGAGGAAGAAGUGGGGAAUAUUGCAAAAUGGGCGGAAGCAUGAUGAAGCAACGGAGCGAGCGGGAAGACGGACUUCGGGUUGUAAACAGCUUUAGAAUGUGACGAAGCGGGAGUGACGGUAAUGGGUAAAGAAGCACCGGCUAACUACGUG
RNAcentral lists this ribosomal RNA (468 nucleotides) under uncultured bacterium. RNAcentral's name for it is "partial 16S ribosomal RNA". It matches the Rfam family "Bacterial small subunit ribosomal RNA", at positions 28 to 507 of the family's 1533-position model. The record is from RNAcentral.